GGCCUCGUAGCUCAACUGGUAGAGCGUGCGCGUACACAGCGUAGGCGGCAUCAAUGGGUGGGUUCGAAUCCCAUCGAGGAUA
RNAcentral lists this transfer RNA (82 nucleotides) under Echinostoma caproni. It matches the Rfam family "tRNA". Rfam says of the family: Transfer RNA (tRNA) molecules are approximately 80 nucleotides in length. Their secondary structure includes four short double-helical elements and three loops (D, anti-codon, and T loops). Further hydrogen bonds mediate the characteristic L-shaped molecular structure. tRNAs have two regions of fundamental functional importance: the anti-codon, which is responsible for specific mRNA codon recognition, and the 3' end, to which the tRNAs corresponding amino acid is attached (by aminoacyl-tRNA synthetases). tRNAs cope with the degeneracy of the genetic code in two manners: having more than one tRNA (with a specific anti-codon) for a particular amino acid; and 'wobble' base-pairing, i.e. permitting non-standard base-pairing at the 3rd anti-codon position. Lineage: Eukaryota; Metazoa; Platyhelminthes; Trematoda; Plagiorchiida; Echinostomatidae. The record is from Rfam by way of RNAcentral.